AUACUUACCUGUAGGGGAGAUACCAUGAUCGUGAAGGUGGUUUCCCAAGGCCAGGCUUAUCCACUGAACUCCAGAUGUGCUAACCCCUAUCAUUUCUCCAGAUGUGGAAAUAAACUGUAUCAUUUGUGGUCGUGGGGGAUUGUGCACUCACUUUCUCCUG
Molecule: small nuclear RNA, 160 nt
Organism: Myotis daubentonii (Daubenton's bat)
Lineage: Eukaryota; Metazoa; Chordata; Mammalia; Chiroptera; Vespertilionidae
Product: U1 spliceosomal RNA
Source: RefSeq, a predicted model, not a curated record